CGGAGUGUAGCGCAGGCUGGUAGCGCAUCUGGUUUGGGACCAGAGGGUCGGGAGUUCGAAUCUCUCCACUCCGACCA
Molecule: transfer RNA, 77 nt
Filed under: Mesorhizobium loti
Lineage: Bacteria; Pseudomonadati; Pseudomonadota; Alphaproteobacteria; Hyphomicrobiales; Phyllobacteriaceae
Also listed under: 128 other names
Description: tRNA-Pro
Rfam family: tRNA
About the family: Transfer RNA (tRNA) molecules are approximately 80 nucleotides in length. Their secondary structure includes four short double-helical elements and three loops (D, anti-codon, and T loops). Further hydrogen bonds mediate the characteristic L-shaped molecular structure. tRNAs have two regions of fundamental functional importance: the anti-codon, which is responsible for specific mRNA codon recognition, and the 3' end, to which the tRNAs corresponding amino acid is attached (by aminoacyl-tRNA synthetases). tRNAs cope with the degeneracy of the genetic code in two manners: having more than one tRNA (with a specific anti-codon) for a particular amino acid; and 'wobble' base-pairing, i.e. permitting non-standard base-pairing at the 3rd anti-codon position.
Source: RNAcentral